CCUACGGGUGGCUGCAGUGGGGAAUAUUGGACAAUGGGCGAAAGCCUGAUCCAGCCAUGCCGCGUGUGUGAAGAAGGCCUUCGGGUUGUAAAGCACUUUCAGUGGGGAAGAAAGCCUUGGGGCUAAUACCCUCGAGGAAGGACAUCACCCACAGAAGAAGCACCGGCUAACUCCGUGCCAGCAGCCGCGGUAAUACGGAGGGUGCGAGCGUUAAUCGGAAUUACUGGGCGUAAAGCGCGCGUAGGCGGUCUGAUAAGCCGGUUGUGAAAGCCCCGGGCUCAACCUGGGAACGGCAUCCGGAACUGUCAGGCUAGAGUGCAGGAGAGGAAGGUAGAAUUCCCGGUGUAGCGGUGAAAUGCGUAGAGAUCGGGAGGAAUACCAGUGGCGAAGGCGGCCUUCUGGACUGACACUGACGCUGAGGUGCGAAAGCGUGGGGAGCAAACAGGAUUAGAUACCCGGAUAGUC
This 465-nucleotide ribosomal RNA is filed under the name Vreelandella stevensii. RNAcentral's name for it is "partial 16S ribosomal RNA". It matches the Rfam family "Bacterial small subunit ribosomal RNA", at positions 338 to 795 of the family's 1533-position model. Lineage: Bacteria; Pseudomonadati; Pseudomonadota; Gammaproteobacteria; Oceanospirillales; Halomonadaceae. The record is from RNAcentral.